ACUUUGGGAUAACUUCAGGAAACUGGGGCUAAUACCGGAUAGGAGCUCCUGCUGCAUGGUGGGGGUUGGAAAGUUUCGGCGGUUGGGGAUGGACUCGCGGCUUAUCAGCUUGUUGGUGGGGUAGUGGCUUACCAAGGCUUUGACGGGUAGCCGGCCUGAGAGGGUGACCGGCCACAUUGGGACUGAGAUACGGCCCAGACUCCUACGGGAGGCAGCAGUGGGGAAUAUUGCACAAUGGGCGGAAGCCUGAUGCAGCAACGCCGCGUGCGGGAUGACGGCCUUCGGGUUGUAAACCGCUUUCGCCUGUGACGAAGCGUGAGUGACGGUAAUGGGUAAAGAAGCACCGGCUAACUACGUGCCAGCAGCCGCGGUGAUACGUAGGGUGCGAGCGUUGUCCGGAUUUAUUGGGCGUAAAGGGCUCGUAGGUGGUUGAUCGCGUCGGAAGUGUAAUCUUGGGGCUUAACCCUGAGCGUGCUUUCGAUACGGGUUGACUUGAGGAAGGUAGGGGAGAAUGGAAUUCCUGGUGGAGCGGUGGAAUGCGCAGAUAUCAGGAGGAACACCAGUGGCGAAGGCGGUUCUCUGGCCCUUCCUGACGCUGAGGAGCGAAAGCGUGGGGAGCGAACAGGCUUAGAUACCCUGGUAGUCCACGCUGUAAACGGUGGGUACUAGGUGUGGGGUCCAUUCCACGGGUUCCGUGCCGUAGCUAACGCUUUAAGU
RNAcentral lists this ribosomal RNA (717 nucleotides) under uncultured Actinomycetes bacterium. RNAcentral describes it as "bacterial SSU rRNA". It matches the Rfam family "Bacterial small subunit ribosomal RNA", at positions 135 to 865 of the family's 1533-position model. The record is from RNAcentral. Lineage: Bacteria; Bacillati; Actinomycetota; Actinomycetes.